Molecule: ribosomal RNA, 733 nt
Filed under: Citrobacter koseri
Lineage: Bacteria; Pseudomonadati; Pseudomonadota; Gammaproteobacteria; Enterobacterales; Enterobacteriaceae
Description: bacterial SSU rRNA
Rfam family: Bacterial small subunit ribosomal RNA
Source: RNAcentral
UGUCGACUUGGAGGUUGUGCCCUUGAGGCGUGGCUUCCGGAGCUAACGCGUUAAGUCGACCGCCUGGGGAGUACGGCCGCAAGGUUAAAACUCAAAUGAAUUGACGGGGGCCCGCACAAGCGGUGGAGCAUGUGGUUUAAUUCGAUGCAACGCGAAGAACCUUACCUGGUCUUGACAUCCACGGAAGUUUUCAGAGAUGAGAAUGUGCCUUCGGGAACCGUGAGACAGGUGCUGCAUGGCUGUCGUCAGCUCGUGUUGUGAAAUGUUGGGUUAAGUCCCGCAACGAGCGCAACCCUUAUCCUUUGUUGCCAGCGGUUAGGCCGGGAACUCAAAGGAGACUGCCAGUGAUAAACUGGAGGAAGGUGGGGAUGACGUCAAGUCAUCAUGGCCCUUACGACCAGGGCUACACACGUGCUACAAUGGCAUAUACAAAGAGAAGCGACCUCGCGAGAGCAAGCGGACCUCAUAAAGUAUGUCGUAGUCCGGAUUGGAGUCUGCAACUCGACUCCAUGAAGUCGGAAUCGCUAGUAAUCGUGGAUCAGAAUGCCACGGUGAAUACGUUCCCGGGCCUUGUACACACCGCCCGUCACACCAUGGGAGUGGGUUGCAAAAGAAGUAGGUAGCUUAACCUUCGGGAGGGCGCUUACCACUUUGUGAUUCAUGACUGGGGUGAAGUCGUAACAAGGUAACCGUAGGGGAACCUGCGGUUGGAUCACCUCCUUACCUUAAAGAA